UGGGGAAUAUUGGACAAUGGGGGCAACCCUGAUCCAGCCAUGCCGCGUGAGUGAAGGAGGCCUUAGGGUUGUAAAGCUCUUUCAGUCGUGACGAUGAUGACGGUAGCGACAGAAGAAGCCCCGGCUAACUCCGUGCCAGCAGCCGCGGUAAUACGGAGGGGGCAAGCGUAGUUCGGAUUUACUGGGCGUAAAGGGCGCGUAGGCGGGGUAUCCAGUUAGGGGUGAAAGCCCGGGGCUCAACCUGGGAAUUGCAUUCGAUACUGCUGAGCUAGAGUAUGGUAGAGGGAAGUGGAAUUUCCGGUGUAGCGGUGAAAUGCGUAGAUAUCGGAAGGAACACCAGUGGCGAAGGCGACUUCCUGGGCCAAUACUGACGCUGAGGUGCGAAAGCGUGGGGAGCAAACAGGAUUAGAUACCCCUGUAGUCC
RNAcentral lists this ribosomal RNA (424 nucleotides) under uncultured prokaryote. RNAcentral describes it as "bacterial SSU rRNA". It matches the Rfam family "Bacterial small subunit ribosomal RNA", at positions 355 to 796 of the family's 1533-position model. The record is from RNAcentral.